CAGAAUGGUUUCAGCACUAUGUGCUUCUUCCGGUACAGAAUCUGAGCGCCUUGCUCCAAGUUACUGGCUGAGGAGGUGAAGAGCCUGUGCAGUGGUUCCCCUAUCCCAGCUCUUGGGUGCAUCCCCUCCACCUGAGAUCUUUUGUAAAAACAAAGGAACAAUCCUUCUGCUGAUAAGAGUUGGCACACUGCAGGCUUUCAAUCUGCUACUGGAGCCACAAAAGUCCAGGUACGACACCUCGAUGCUAUCCCAGAAAUUCAGGAAAGGGGGAGAGGACUGUCUCUGUGUUGUAAAUGCUACGUGUGACGACUACUAACUCUGAACUCAGUCCUGUGGCAAGACAGUGGUCUGCAAGCUAACCUGCUUUCUACCGAAUGAACAAAAGGAUAUAGGUUAUUCUCGUGGCAACUCUUAGAAAACCUCCUUGUGCUUCUGAGCUGCAGAUUUUGGAAAACGUGCCCCAUUCUAACAUUACAGGCACCAGAAACUCGUUAGGAUCUUUUCUAUGAGGAAGAUGAAAGACAUCUUGCCUUUGUCCACGUUACAGGCAUCUAAAGGACAUUGGAGCUCUCCUGUGAGAAGUUUGGUCAGGGGCUAUUUUAAAGCAGUUUCAUGGAAGACACAGAAGAAGGUACUCAGCUUCGAAGUGCUGCUUCCCACCCCUGUUUCAGCACAGAAAUAUCUCUGCAGGGUAUGGUGGCCAAGACCACAGGACACUUGGCAUUCUGCUCUCACCCCCAAAACUCUGCAGCAAUUCUCCUUCACAGAACAUCAGAGCAGAGCAAGAGUAGUAGCUGCAUGAAACUAAAUGCUGUGCUCUCUUCUUCGGGAGCAAGAGGGAGAAAACUUCCACCACUGCAAUACUUCUUCUCCCCUUACCAGGAAUUCCCUUCUCUUCAGUCUUUGAUGGCUGAUGAGGAGGUAGCGUUAGUGAGAGGGGCUGACUUCAAGGGAAGCUAUGAUGGGGCAAAAGCAUAAAAACUGCUAUAGGGUUAAAAAGAAUAGCUGUGUGCUCUGCUUGAAAAAUGUGAGAAAGCCUGUGUGCGUUCUACUGAGCAGCUGCAGCUUCUGGGAUGAAGAUGAGAGUUUUGUGGAGGGCUGACUAUUGUAACCCUUCGUGUAAAGGAAAUGGGUGCAGAAGACAGGUGGCCUCUUGCAGGAGCCGUUCGAGCUAAUACUGGGAAAAAGCAAAGUCUAUGGAGGUCAAAUUCUGGAGGAAUAUGAUAUAAAUUCAAAGAGAGCUA
Long non-coding RNA from Cygnus atratus (black swan), 1244 nucleotides. RefSeq lists it as uncharacterized. NCBI's taxonomy places the organism in Eukaryota, Metazoa, Chordata, Aves, Anseriformes, Anatidae. The record is from RefSeq and is a predicted model, not a curated record. The transcript has 4 exons.